GCGCCCUUAGCUCAGUUGGAUAGAGCAACGGCCUUCUAAGCCGUGGGUCGCAGGUUCGAAUCCUGCGGGGCGCGCCA
RNAcentral lists this transfer RNA (77 nucleotides) under Salmonella enterica subsp. enterica. Its description in RNAcentral is "tRNA-Arg". It matches the Rfam family "tRNA". From Rfam's summary of the family: Transfer RNA (tRNA) molecules are approximately 80 nucleotides in length. Their secondary structure includes four short double-helical elements and three loops (D, anti-codon, and T loops). Lineage: Bacteria; Pseudomonadati; Pseudomonadota; Gammaproteobacteria; Enterobacterales; Enterobacteriaceae. RNAcentral also lists the same sequence under 1 other name. The record is from RNAcentral.